CAGUUACCUUUGCAUUGGUUGGUUCGAUAACUUGGAAAAUAGAAGCCCACCUCGUUCACGCAUGAAGCUCACUUAUUUUGGUUUGGAAGUUCUAUUUGUCCAUGGAUGGAUUUCUUUGGGAGGUUGGAUGCAUACCAAUGUGCUACACUUGCCCCCUGUCCAGGUUCUAGCGAGCGGCCGCUGCCCUCCUUGCCUCCGGCAUCCGCAAACUGCUUGUAGUUGGUGUGGCCUAAACCAGACCGCACGGCACUCGGAACCAGCUUCAAGACGUUCACCUUACCAGUGUCUGGGGAUGGAUGACCGUGGGGGCAUCUGUUGCAGGAGCAUUGCUGGGAUGGGAAUAUGACGUGGGUUGCAUGAAGUUUACUUAUACUACUUUGUGGAGUUCACUUCUCCUAUUCAUGAUAUUCAUGUAUCCUGAUGCUUCACUUUAGAUUUUCCCUGUAGAUGGAUUUUCUUUUGAGUCUGCUAGAUGAAUUAUUCCUGAAGUUCACUUCCAAUAUUUGUGCUGCGGGGUGGAUGAUUUCUGUAUAUAAACUAUGUGUCAAGUUAA
Lolium perenne is the source of this 553-nucleotide non-coding RNA. The record is from RefSeq and is a predicted model, not a curated record. Lineage: Eukaryota; Viridiplantae; Streptophyta; Magnoliopsida; Poales; Poaceae.